UACGUAGGUGGCAAGCGUUGUCCGGAUUUACUGGGCGUAAAGGGCGUGCAGGCGGUUUGUUAAGUUCAGGGUGAAAGCUCCCGGCUCAACUGGGAGAGGUCCUUGGAUACUGGCAGACUUGAGGAGGGUAGAGGAGAGUGGAAUUCCCGGUGUAGUGGUGAUAUGCGUAGAUAUCGGGAGGGACACCAGUGGCGAAGGCGGCUCUCUGGGCCCUACCUGACGCUGAGACGCGAAAGCGUGGGGAGCGAACCGG
RNAcentral lists this ribosomal RNA (253 nucleotides) under uncultured bacterium. Its description in RNAcentral is "partial 16S ribosomal RNA". It matches the Rfam family "Bacterial small subunit ribosomal RNA", at positions 524 to 776 of the family's 1533-position model. The record is from RNAcentral.